This 74-nucleotide non-coding RNA is filed under the name Desulfovibrio sp. Lineage: Bacteria; Pseudomonadati; Thermodesulfobacteriota; Desulfovibrionia; Desulfovibrionales; Desulfovibrionaceae. The record is from RNAcentral. RNAcentral also lists the same sequence under 1 other name.
AGGCGAAACGCUGGCGUUUUUACGACCAGCGUCACCGGGGGAUAGGUGCCCACGGUCUGACGAGCCAGCCCGCU